This is a non-coding RNA of Jatropha curcas, 590 nucleotides long. NCBI's taxonomy places the organism in Eukaryota, Viridiplantae, Streptophyta, Magnoliopsida, Malpighiales, Euphorbiaceae. The record is from RefSeq and is a predicted model, not a curated record.
UUCAGAGCUUAUAUGAACCCUAAAUAUCAUAGCUUCUGAAGCAUAGUUAGAAAGCGUGUGUAGAUGAAGAGGUAAUACAAUGUUGGUCUUCAUCGUGUUGGUCUUUCUUCUAAUCGCAUUCUUAUGCACUUGGAAAUGCCCGUUAUGAAUUAAUGGCUAUGAGUUAUUAAGCAAUUGACUACUACAAUGGGGAUUAUGUCAUCGACUCUGAUAAGGAUGAUCGGCACCGGCAGCAAUGACAGAUUAACAUAUCCAUAAAUUUUACUGCAACAAAAUUUAUGGAUCUUUGUGUGCAGGUUUACCAUAUUUAUAGAGAAGGCAAAUCUUACAGAGACUGGAUAGCUCACCAUGGAGGAACUUUGCCUAUGGUUGUUCAUAUUUUUGGAGGAUCACCUUAAGGAAUAAUUAGGCUUUUCUGCAUGAUAAUGUGUGGAUUUCAUAAAUUUUGUAAUAGCUACAUCUUGUUUAUUUUCUCUUUUUCUUUUUUUUUUUCUUUAAGAAAAAAUGACGUGUAUAAGUCAUUUGCUUCCUGUUUAACUAAUAAAAAAAUGGUAUGGUGUGAAUAAAAGCCUUUAAAGGUACAUAUGUUA